RNAcentral lists this small RNA (874 nucleotides) under Pongo abelii (Sumatran orangutan). Its description in RNAcentral is "processed transcript". The record is from RNAcentral. Lineage: Eukaryota; Metazoa; Chordata; Mammalia; Primates; Hominidae.
AUUUCCGGUCCAGGGGGUUUGGCUCUCCGCGGCACGGGAUUUAGCGUUCGCGCUCCUUCCCUUCCCGUGGUGGAGCUGAGUCCUGACAUGGGGGCUGCAUCAAGAUCUUGUCAUUCCACAUCAUGGUUUCCUUUGAGGACGUGGCUGUACCCCUGUCCCAGGAGGAGUGGGACUGUCUGAUCCCUGCUCAGAGGGGCCUCUACAAGGAUGUGAUGAUGGAGACCUAUGGGAACCUAGUCUCACUAGUAGGUGAAUGGUUAAGCAAACUGUGGUACAUCCAUACCAUGGAAUACUACUCAACAAUCAAAAGGAACUGCCCAGACUUCACCACGAUGCAAUAUAUGCAUGACUUCAAGCUUCCAAACCUGAUGUAAUCUCCAGGCUGGAGCAGGGGGACGAACCAUGGACCCCUCACAUCCUGAGAACUUGGGGGAGCUGGAGCUGGAGGCACAAGAGAGAAGGCUAUGAUUCUAGGAUUGAAAAAGAGGAACUGAUUCCAAAGCAGGACAUUUCCAAAGAAUUGGAAUCCCAGAGAGCAAAAUCAGAAGAUCAUGUAAGGAAUAUUUUUAAGGAAACUGAAGAGAUGAGUAAAACUGAGGGAAAGUUAGAGAAUUGCUGGAGAAAAUAUGCAGUAGAAGGAGUUAAGAACUCAUUCUCCCAGAAGCACAAUUUCAGAGAAAUUACCAUGAGGUAUGUGAAAACUCUCUAGAGAGAAUGGCCAGAAGUUCAAUACUGUUGGAGAAAACUGCAUCACAGACUCAAAUCCUGCCAAACAUCUUAAAGGGUCUAGAGAGGAGAGUCUCCAUCCAAGUGUGUCAAGUGUAGAAAACUUGCAACAACAUGAGGACCUCAUUAACCUCUGGAGUUUCCAAUU